CCUACGGGAGGCAGCAGUAGGGAAUAUUGCUCAAUGGGGGAAACCCUGAAGCAGCAACGCCGCGUGGAGGAUGAAGGUUUUCGGAUUGUAAACUCCUUUUGUUAGAGAAGAUAAUGACGGUAUCUAACGAAUAAGCACCGGCUAACUCCGUGCCAGCAGCCGCGGUAAUACGGCGGGGGCAAGCGUUACUCUGAGUCACUGGGCGUAAAGAGCGCGUAGGCGGGAUAGCAAGUCAGAUGUGAAAUCCUAGGGCUUAACCAGAGAACUGCAUUUGAAACUGUUAUUCUAGAGUAUGGGAGAGGUAGGUGGAAUUCUUGGUGUAGCGGUAAAAUCCGUAGAGAUUAAGAGGAAUACUCAUUGCGAAGGCGACCUGCUAGAACAUAACUGACGCUGAUGCGCGAAAGCGUGGGGAGCAAACAGGAUUAGAUACCCUUGUAGUC
Molecule: ribosomal RNA, 440 nt
Filed under: uncultured bacterium
Lineage: Bacteria
Description: partial 16S ribosomal RNA
Rfam family: Bacterial small subunit ribosomal RNA
Source: RNAcentral